AAAAAAGGAAAGAAAUUGACUUUCCUCAUGCAAAACACCACAGCCAUCCAAAAGACUGAAUAAUACCUGGUUUUACUGUGUGAACACUGCCCCUGCUGAAGAGAACCCUUUGCCGGGCUAUCGUGCUGAACAGCUUAGCAACAAUCAUCCACUGCCUCCAAGGCUCACCGCUAAAGAGCGGCAAGCUUAUGCUCCGCAAAUCAUUAAGCUCCGGGCCCUCCUAGCGAACGGUUUAACCGGCAUCGACCUUGCUCGAUGUUGGGUUUCAUGGGGUAUCCUUCCCUUAAGCCGUCGCUCCAGUUUGAUGUAUAAAUGUACCGGAGAUAUAAAAGACCCUCUGUGGUCCAAUGAAAUAGAAAAGACUGACGAGGAAGUUACUAAAGCGGUAAAGAAAAUGUUGGACGAACCGAUUGCUCAGUGCAGCAAGACCGGAUUGGCUCCUUUCUGUACUUCCAACAAACCACGUUAAUCCAACAACUCUUUCUGGAAGAAAAAACCUUCAGACAAACCGGUGAGGACUCAACACCAAAAGACUAAAGCUGUAAAGAAGGCGGGCAAGAAGAAAAUUGGCGAGUCUUCUGAUCCGCCUGAGGAUGUAAAUGAAUCGGAGAACGAGGAUGAUACGGAAGCCAGACGUGCGGACCAUGUUGAGGUAAUCAUCCUUUCUUGCGAUUCAGAACAUGUGCCGGUUCAAAGACUUCGU
This is a long non-coding RNA of Triticum dicoccoides, 703 nucleotides long. RefSeq lists it as uncharacterized. The record is from RefSeq and is a predicted model, not a curated record. Lineage: Eukaryota; Viridiplantae; Streptophyta; Magnoliopsida; Poales; Poaceae. The transcript has 3 exons.